GCCCCAGCUGGGAUAGCUCAUUCGGUAGAGCGUGAGACUCUUAAUCUCCAGGUCAUGGGUUCAAGCCCUACACUGGGCA
Non-coding RNA from Podarcis lilfordi (Lilford's wall lizard), 79 nucleotides. NCBI's taxonomy places the organism in Eukaryota, Metazoa, Chordata, Lepidosauria, Squamata, Lacertidae. The record is from the annotation of a GenBank genome assembly.